GGGGUCUCGUGGCGUGAGAAGCUCGGAGUGGUCAGAACAGAAACCCCAGGAGCAGUCUGCUCACUCAGCGUUAUUAUCAUGGUUUCGAGGUGUCUGUCUGGAUCAUUUUGUCCGUCUUAGGCUGGGAACCUCUAGGGGACAGAACUGGGCCCACACUCAGUGCUGCCUGAGCUCCAUCAGGCACGAAGGGAGCGACAGGUAAGAUGUCUGACUCCUGAAAGAUGAACAGGUCGGAGAGACGUGUGUUUACGUGGUCCAGCUCUGCGUGAAGCAGUCCUGGAGCACUUCCAGCAUGCCAUCACAUGGAAUCCAGCCUCUGCCUGAAACGCUUGCGCCUGAAGGCACGCAUCCAGAGCUCGGCUGGAGCUGGAGGUGGAGGCGGAGGGAAGGGGACGAGAGGAACUGACAGACGGAGUCACUCGGCGAAGGCAGGCCUGCGUUUCUGGAGCCAAUGGACGACGAGAGGGAAGGAAGAAGGGAGACCACCAGGGGCCAUGGACGUGGGCUACACCGGAUGAAAGAAAGACCCUACACUUGGGAAUCAGUCAAACCUGGACUCCACACUCGAAUGGACCACUAAUACCCUGCGUGAGCUUAGACAGGUCAUUUCAUCUCUUUGAGCCUGUUUUGUCAAUUGCAAAUAGGAAAUAAUCCCUGUACUUUAGGGUUCUGGCGCUCAAGUGAGACAGCACGUGGAACAGCACUUGGCCCAGAGCAGGCGAUCAAGACCUGUCAGAGCCUCCUCCUUUCAGUCUGCCCCAGCCUUGCCACCCGCAGUUGGAAAUCUCUGCUCUACAGGUGAAGAAACUGAGGCUCAGAGACGUUAAGUGACAUGUUGGCCCCGGGUCUCGCCGCUGGGAAGGGGCAGGACGGAACUGAACCCGGGACGUGGCCGGCAGGAGAAUCUGCUGCUGCCCUGGGCGGCUCCCAGUUCUCAGGAAGAAGCAAGUAAGCAAUCUGGGCUGGAAACCCUCUCCCUGCCGUGGCCUGAGAACCCGUCCGGAGCAGUGUUACUCGCGCAUAAUGCUCCUCUGGGGACAAAUUAUAGCCGCAUGAGAAGGAUCCCUUUUCGAUUCCCAGGGUAUAGAUUUUCAGAGUGAUCCCGGCAACUUUGCAUGACCUUUCCAGCAUCCAGAGUGCGUUCAGAUAUAUCAGCCAUUCUCAGAGUCUGGUCUGGGGAUCCUUGAGUGCCCCUGCGACCCUUUCAGGGGGUCGUCAAGACAAAACUAUUUUCAUAAUAAUGCCAAGACGUCAUUUACCCGUUUAAGCUCUCAUUUUUCUCACGCAAGUACAGACUGAAUGCUGAAGCGGACAUGAGAAUGUACCGUCUCUGUUAAGCCAGGCGUUCAAGGGAUUUGCAGAACUAAAACAAUGCCUCUCUUCUCUCUAGCCUUGUUCUCGAGAAUAUAGGGAUAGCUCAUAGAGCAAGUAGGUUUUUAUGCUACCAGAUAAGGGUGUAUUACUGUUCAUUUUAAACGAGUUAAAUGUUUUUUAACUUCCCAGCUUUAAUGUGUAACAUGGUAAACAUCGAUAACUAUUACACACUGAAACGGAAGUUUAUUUGGGUUCUUCACCAAUUUGAAGAGUGUAGAAGGGUCCUGAAACGGGAAGUCCUGAGAGCUGCCCACAUGCACCCCCACUUAACCCCCACGAUGGCACGGGCACACUGUCCUGCCUCCCUCUCAGCCUGCGGCAGGCAGGGCCGGUUCCGCCCCUCAGCGCCAUGGCUCCUUGCACGAGGAGCCUGGGACGGUCCCCAGAAGGACCGGUUGAGGGGAAGGCAGCUGACGACUCUGGGGCCACAGUGAACCAGGUCAGUGGAGUGGCUAGAGGGGCACUUCCUGGUGGCUUCAGCCUCUCCCAGCUUCUAGAGGCUCUGCCCACCUUGGCUUCCAUGACACCACGUUUCCAGUUCUGCAAAUGGCUCCUCUGCUCUCUUCCCCUUGAGUGUUGCUAUUACCAGCAUCCCCUCCUCGGCCCUCUUCUGGUCUCACUCUCCGAUGUCCCCGGAUAAGCUUGUCCACACCUCAUGUGUGACGGUUCCCAGGCUCUCCAGCUCAGACCCUUCUCUUCAGUGUCAAAGCUAAGUACUGGGUGUGUCUACCCGGACAUCAGAUGUUUAAACCCGCAUGCUCAAACUGCCCAAUCCCUGGGCAUCCGGUACAUUGUACGAGUCACAGGUGAUGUGCCAGCGAACAGCACGGAAGUCCCUGUCCUCAAGGGAAAAUCAACACCGUCUAGCAGAGAUGAUCAGUCCCAAGGCAACCUUUAUAUUUGGGGGUCUGGUGAUUAUUCUCACCAUCAGCCCGAUCGCCCAACACCCCUUCUUCCCUGUCUGCUCCAGCCAGCCCGUCACCGAGUCCUCGUGCGUCUGUCUUCUCAUGUCCUGUCACCACGACGGCAGCACCCUCAGACCAAAGCUGGGUGUGAACUCUCUCAGUGAUCCCGUGGCCACUCUCCCGGACUCCUGUCUCAUCCCGUCCUCAUUCACACAUCGAUCGCCUCGCUCCCCGAGUGGCCCUUUCACAGCCCCAGAUCUCCGUCUUUACUGCCUAGGCUCGGUAAUGGCUCCCUCUUCUCUGUAAAAUAACAUCCAGACCCAUGAGCUUUGUAAGCUUCCUCAGGAAUUGACCUUUGUUUCAUUUUCUGUCGCUCCUCUGAAUGUAUCCAGUGCAUUUCAAAAGAUG
Phyllostomus hastatus (greater spear-nosed bat) is the source of this 2687-nucleotide long non-coding RNA. RefSeq lists it as uncharacterized. The transcript has 3 exons. The record is from RefSeq and is a predicted model, not a curated record. Lineage: Eukaryota; Metazoa; Chordata; Mammalia; Chiroptera; Phyllostomidae.